This 515-nucleotide ribosomal RNA is filed under the name uncultured bacterium. RNAcentral describes it as "partial 16S ribosomal RNA". It matches the Rfam family "Bacterial small subunit ribosomal RNA", at positions 355 to 861 of the family's 1533-position model. The record is from RNAcentral.
UGGGGAAUUUUGGACAAUUGGGCGAAGCCUGAUCCAGCAAUGCCGCGUGUGUGAAGAAGGCCUUCGGGUUGUAAAGCACUUUUGUCCGGAAAGAAAUCCUUGGCUCUAAUACAGUCGGGGGAUGACGGUACCGGAAGAAUAAGCACCGGCUAACUACGUGCCAGCAGCCGCGGUAAUACGUAGGGUGCAAGCGUUAAUCGGAAUUACUGGGCGUAAAGCGUGCGCAGGCGGUUUGCUAAGACCGAUGUGAAAUCCCCGGGCUCAACCUGGGAACUGCAUUGGUGACUGGCAGGCUAGAGUAUGGCAGAGGGGGGUUAGAAUUCCACGUGUAGCAGUGAAAUGCGUAGAGAUGUGGAGGAAUACCGAUGGCGAAGGCAGCCCCCUGGGCAAGUACUGACGCUCAUGCACGAAAGCGUGGGGAGCAAACNGGAUUAGAUACCCCUGGUAGUCCACGCCCCUAAANGAUGUCAACUAGUUGUUGGGGAUUCAUUUCCUAGUAACGUAGCUAACGCGUG